GCUGGAUUAACCUAUUUAUAAACAUAGCAGUUUCUCUGACACUGCUAUGUUUAUAAAAAAAUGGGUUAAUCCUAGAGGGACCUGGCACCCAGACCACUUCAUUAAGCUGAAGCGGUCUGGGUGCCUAGAGUGGUCCUUUAAUCUACUUGGUAUACUUGUUUGUUUAUUAUGGUUACAAAAAUAUGUUCUACAUAUACCAGAGCUAGUGUGUUUCUUUUUAUACACAUAAAACCAAUGUAUUAAUAAUCUUCAUGUGCUCACAAUGCCACUAUUGAGAGGCCACAAUUUAAUGAAUUAGAUCUGGCUAAAAAAAGGAAUGCAACAACAUAUAAAAUUAUUAAAAGGACACUAACCACUACAGCUUGCUUUGUCCUGGCACUGUUCCCUAGUUUAAAUUAAAAAUGUUUAGAAAUAGUUUAACACAAAACCAAGGUGUCCUUCUACAUUUUUGCUUUUUCCCCUUGGCUGCUUUUAUGAUGGGGAAUUGACACUUCCACAUUAUCAGUGUUUAUUUUUUACGUAGUUGAUGUUGGUUCUAGGUUGAGUGAUAGGGGCUGCAUUCGUAUUAAUUCCACAUUAUCAGUGUUUAUUUUUUACGUAGUUGAUGUUGGUUCUAGGUUGAGUGAUAGGGGCUGCAUUCGUAUUAAUUCCACAUUAUCAACCUUGCUAACAGGAUAGUCUCUGGGCACCAGGAAGCAUACAGUGUAUUCAUAAAUUUAGAUCUAAUUAUUUACAUUAAAUCUUUAAUAAGUGUUUGACGUGAAACUUUAAAACAGCACACAUGUACAUUUUAGAUAAUUUGCCCACUACAAGAUGAUGUGGAUGUGAUCACAGAUCGUCUAUUCAAAGUAGGUAAAUUACUACUAUUCCCAAAUAAAAUGGAGAAAACAAUAAGGAGCCCUUACUCAAACAUUAAAAAUACACCUCUAUUAAUGAUUAAACAUACAUAUCUAGAGGAACAAAGGAAAAUGUUCUAAGCUUUAUGUUGAUACCAAUUGAUUCAGUGGUUGAAUAAAUUAUAAAUUCAGUAUGUGUGCUUCCAGGGUUCCAGGAAAGCAAGUCCAAACAUGGAUGGUAACUUAAAGGGACACUAUAGUCACCCAGACCACUUCAGCUCAAUGAAGUGGUCUGGGUGCCAGGUCCCUCAGGUUUUAACCCUUCAGAUGUAACCAUAGCAAUUUCAGAGAAACUGCUAUGUUUACAUUACGGGUUAAGCCAACCUCUAGUGGCUGUCUUCCUGACAGCCGCUUUUGGCUCAUCUGCGAUGCUGGAUGCGAACUUCACAUCUGUUGCCCACAGUGUCCAUAGAGAAAUGCUUUCCUAUGGACUGUUUAAAUGCGCGAGCAGCACUUGCCGCGCAUGCCGCUCCACUCGGGAGAUGACGUCGGCAGGGGAGAUGAGGGAGCCCGGCGCUGGAUUAAGUUAAGCUGCUGAAGGUGUUUUAACCCCUUCAGUGCCACGGGAGGAGGACACUGAGGAUGAGGAUCCCCCAGGGAUUAUAUAGUAUCAGGAAAACCGCUUUGUUUUCCUGACACUAUAGUGAUCCUUUAAGUAAAAGAUAGAUUUUUAUGGCAAUGCAACGUAGGUAAUAUGUCCCUAAUUCAGGUCACAGCUGGCAAGCAGACCAUUUCUACAAGAGAUACACUGUUCAUAUAACCUUGUUUACCAGAGUGUGCCUACUAUCUAACUUAAAGGGACACUCCACUUCCCAAAUACAAAAUAUCAUUGUUUAGUAGAUAUACCCCAAAUGCAAACUUACAUGCAUUUAACUAUGCAUUUUUUUUCAUUGGAGUUAUAUCUAAAAACAGAGUGCAAAAACUGCAGUUCUAUUGUCUGUUGCCUUUGCAAGCCCUCCCCUUCUAACACCCCCCAGACUAUGUGGCUGUCCAAUCACAGACUUCCCAAUGCAGCUCAAUGAGAGGUGCUCUGAGCAAUUGCCUGACUGUUAAGUUCAGUGCAACUAAGCUAACCAAGCCAUCAAGAAGUAACAGGACCUCAAGCCUGCUUGAAAAGUGAGAAUGGUAAAAUCAUGUUAUUUAUCUAUUGAAAUCUGCACCAUUUACCAAAUGAAAAAAACAACAGGACUUACUCUUCACACAAAUCUUUUCAGCAAGCUAAAUUGAUUUAUGGGUCUGGAGUGUCCAUUUACGUAAAGCCACACAUGAAAUAAAUACUUAAUACCAAUAAUAACCUUAUAUGUGGAAAAAGAGAGGAAUCACUAAAUGGUAGGAAACAAUUACAUACAAAAUUAUUCCAAAAAAAUCAUCCCCUAUACUUUACAAAGUAACUGAAUUGUGUUACACUUGUUACCAAGGUAAAUAACUUGGGUGAAUAAAUAAACUUAGGUCCAGGCUGCCAUGACAAAUGUCAGUAGCAGUGAAAUAAAUAGGAAGAGAAACAAGACAAACAGACUAUAAGUGAGAAGUAGUAGUUAUGGUACAAUAGCCCUCAGUAAAUGAUCCUAAAAUAUCUGUCCCUAAAUUAAGGUCAAAGCUGAGCAAGGACUGUAAAGGACGUCUUGUGUCAUUUCACUGCCUCCUACGGUCAGACAACAUCAAUAGCCCAUUGUUGUGAAUAAAAUAAAGAGAGUUAGCUGCUUAGCACACGCCUUCAUCUGGGGCUUUUACUUAAGUUACCAUACAUAUUUUGGCUUACCUUCCUGGAACCCUAAGUUCAAACUGAAUUCAUAAUUUCUUCAACCAGGAAAUGAUUGGUUUCCAUGUAAAGCAGAGAACGUUUUAUUUGUUGCCCUUCUAGAUGUGUGUAAUCAUUAAUAAAAAUGUAUGUUUAAUAUUUAUUUGAGUAAGGGAUCCUUAUUUUUUUUUUGGGAAAUAUUAGUAAUUUACCUAUUUUGAUGACAUAUUUUUUGGGUUACCCCCAUUUUUGUCCUUACUACACGACCAUUUUUUCCAACAACCUUUCUCUUUAGAUCUUGUUUAAGAUAAUCUAGUUUUAAAAGAAAUGUGCAAUUAUUUUUCAAAAGAUUUCCGUUUCUUAAUUCAUGUUAAAGGACCACUAUAGGCACCCAGACCACUUCAGCUCAAUGAAGUGGUCUGGGUGCCAGGUCCAGCUAGGUUUAACCCUGCCUGCUAUAAACAUAGCAGUUUCAGAGAAACCGCUAUGUUUACAAAUGGGUUAAUCCAGCCUCUAGUGGCUGUCUCAUUGAUAUCCGCUAGAGGCGCUUCCGAGCUUCUCACUGUGAUUUUCACAGUGAGAAGACGCCAGUGUCCAUAGGAAAGCAUUGAGAAUGCUUUCCUAGAGACUGGCUAAAUGCGUGCCCGAUGACAGUCAAAGGAGGAGGAGAGACCCCUGCGCCAGAAAAAAGGUAAAGGAUUAACCCUUUCCUCCCCCCAGAGCCCGACAGGAGGGGGGCCCUGAGGAUGAGGGGGACCCAAGGACCCUAUGGAGCCAGGAAAGUGAGUAUGAUUUCCUGGCACUAUAGUGGUCCUUUAAUCAUAUUGCUUCACCAUCAUAAUAAGGCUGAAUAUAUAUGGAGAGUGAUGGAAGGGCAGUAUUGAUCUUGGCACCCCAUAUGCCCGUAACUACAUUUCCCAUGAUGCAUAGCGAGACAAAUAGCAAAUACAGUUCACAAACAUGAAAACUAUAGAUACCAUAGGUCUUCAGAUGCCUGCCUUGGAGGGCACAAAACAAAUCUUGGUCUGUAAACGGCCAACUAAUUUUCAACUACUAUAAGCCUUUCAAACCGUAUUCUAUGAUUUAUUUGUUGGAACGUGUAAAGUGCUCAUUCAUACAAUCCUCAUUUGCCUAUCUUUGCUUUAGAAGGGUCUAAUUAGCUUCAUCUUUGAACGACCAAUCAAGCUACACAGCAUGGGAAGCAAAUUAACAUUUAGAUAGCUGCAACCAGCAAGAGCUGGUAGUAAUGUUUUAAAUAGCGUCUACAUGCACUAUUUAAGUUAUUAUAAUAAAUAACUUCAAAAUGGAAUGACAGGGAAAAAACUAACACAGAUCACUGCUUGUGCACAACUUUUUUUUUUUUUUACUGAAUAUAUGAUGUACCUUAAGAAAUGAUUGCCAGAAAGAUCCUUAAAUUCUAUAAACAUUUUACCAACCCAACUGAAACCAAUGCAAUCUGAUAAUAUAAAUUUGAAAUCUCAAGACUAGUGCACUCACAGUGACACAAACUACACUGCCUGGCCAAAAAAAAAGUCGCCAGCUGGAUUUGACUAAGCAAAUAUGUAAGAGCCUCCUAUUGGAUAGUUACUGCAUGGGCGAUUAUCUUUCAGCUGGCAACAAGUUAUUUAAACCCAACUGAUGCAAUGAGUAGCUUCUCAUUUCCUAAACAACCAUGUCGAAAGACAUCACAUGGUCGUGGAAAAUAUGUUAGUCUGUUUGAGAAGCAUCAAAUCAGUGGCAUGCAUCAAGCAGAGAAAACAUCUAAAGAGAUUGCAAAAAAAAACUACUAAAACUGGGUUAAGAACUGUCCAACCCAUAAUUAAAAACUGGAAGAACCAGGGUGAUGGGUGCAUCAGGGUAGAAGAAGAGAGGCAGAUGAAGUGAUGCACCCGUCAUGCCUAGUGCCUACUGCACAAGCCUGUGGGGGCAAUGCUAUGAUCUGUGGUUGCUGCAGUUGGUCAGGACUAGGUUCAGCAAUAUUAUGUGCCCAAAGAGGUCAGCUGACUACCUGAAUAACCAGGUUAGUCCAUUAAUGGAUUUUUUCUUCCCUGCUGGCACGUUGUCAAGGGUGGCGGUCCGAAGACCGGGACCCCUGUGUGCCUGAUGAUGAACAUCGGAGUCUCAGCGUGGAAAUGGACAAUCAGGGUCUGGUGCAGGGUAACCACAUGCCCCCUGGUGUUGAGCACCAGGGUUUGUGCGACAACAUACCAGAUGCAGCUUAGCUGAUGCCAGGAGCUGAUAGUAAGCAGAUAUGUAUCCAGUACUAGAAACAAGAUAAGACUAGAACAGGCACCAACCAAGAUAAUAAGACAAGAUUAGAAGAAUCCAGAACCGGAGCAGGACAGAAAGCAGAACAUGUAAACAAUACAAGAGGGAAACAUGAACAGAACAUGGACAGGACUGUACAUGAACUGGGAAUACAAGACAAAUAAGACAAUAGAUACAAGGCAAAACAAGGGGAGACAUAACUAAGUACUAUAUAUGUAAUAAACAUUGGAGAUUUAGACAUACAUAUAUGGCCAAGAUGUAUGCAGCCCCCACUGCGCCAUAGUACUCCAAUUACGGUGGGUCCUAACUGAAAUUAUAGGGCAAAAAGAUGACUUAAAGCGGCACUGCCGUGCCAACUUACCACUCUCCUAUUGUUUCCUCUUCUCUUUCUCUUUAGAAUCUGGUCUUUUCUUAAUUUCUGAUCUAAUUUUCCUUAAAACAUAAGCCAAAGUAGGGAAUAUGUUGUCUUUUCCUACACCUGACUUUCUUUGACCAGAGGACGAGUUUAAAUCAGC
Molecule: non-coding RNA, 5417 nt
Organism: Pelobates cultripes (western spadefoot toad)
Lineage: Eukaryota; Metazoa; Chordata; Amphibia; Anura; Pelobatidae
Source: the annotation of a GenBank genome assembly